Molecule: long non-coding RNA, 1922 nt
Organism: Xyrauchen texanus (razorback sucker)
Lineage: Eukaryota; Metazoa; Chordata; Actinopteri; Cypriniformes; Catostomidae
Exons: 4
Source: RefSeq, a predicted model, not a curated record
GUCCAAGAGUGCGGUUGCAUAUGAGCUCGUGCAUUUGACGUGCACUAAUGUGACAGCAGAAAGCUGGCACAGGGAAACAAGCACACAAAAGAUGAGAGGCACCACACUGGGCGACCUGCUCUGCUCUUUUUCAGUCCCAGAGAAAAUUGCGAUUGGCUAAAUACUUCACCUCACUAUGAAAUGGAGAGAUGCACAGAAGAACAGACACCUGAUAAAUCAAUUACAGCCUGAAGUCUGGAACGCAUAGACAUCACCAGAUGCUGGGUUCCACUACAGUUACCUUUUAAAUCAUUGAUGCCCCUUGCUGUGUGCCCAACACAAUCACAACUAGGGGAUGCUGGGACCUCAUGCUGGGUGCAACAAGGUGUUGUACUAUUAAGGGAGCAGGGAGAGAUGGACAGGGGUCAGUGCAGGGGUAUAUUAACAGACAGGACAUGCUUCUGUGGUCAAACACCAGCCCACAUCUACUCUGGAGCUGGAACGAUCCGGCCUGCCGUAGACUGACCAGCUGUCAUAUCUUUAGAAUGGGCAGCAUGGACUUUGAACAGAGCGGUCGAGGUGAUUUGGUCCAUGCACAUGGACAGAAUUGAGUGGGACAGCAAUGGCCGAUGUUUAACAUGCCCCGUCUGGUGGUCCGAAGAAGUUGUACUGGGAACCGUCAUAUCCUGCCAGAGAUAGGAGGCAGGAGCUAGGAGCCUACCCCCAUGCAGGGCGGGACUCAACUGGUGGUGGUGGGGUGGUGGAGGUUGCCGUGUUAGCACACUAAAACAUCAAUGUGAUAGAUUGUGAGCAGACUUAUAAAGCAAUGGCUUACAUGUGAUUGGCUAGGAAUUACCCAGCUAAUAGUGCGAUGAUGUACAGCUGCUAGAACUACGCUGUGCUUACAUUUCAAUGAGAGUAAAACUGGCAUACGUCAAUGCAUGAAGAUGGAAGUAAUUAAUUUGUGAUUACUUUUUAUGUUAAUCAGUAAAAUAAUAGGAAUACAAUUUCAAUGAAGUAAUUAGUAAUCUGUAGUGGAUAACUUUUUGAUAGUAGUGGAUACUUUAUUACACUGCCAAGUGAUCUUUCUUUUGCCUUAAAUGAAAAAGCAAAUACAUUAAAAAUGUUUCAAAUAUGUUGGGUGCAUGUAGAGGAAUGAUGUCAUGAGAGAAAAAAAACCCUUACCUUUCUUUAUAUAGACUAGUAUGACCUCAUUGUAGAAAAAAAAAAGAUUCUUUAGUUCAUAAACUAAUGAGAAUUAAGUGAGAAUUAAGUCAGAAUGAGAAUUAAGUGAACGGGCAAACAGCCUUUCACACAGACCUUAAUCCUCCAGCUGCAAUCAAACAGCCCUCUUUUGCACAAGUGUGAGAGGUUGAGAAAUGCUGUCUCCUGUGUUUGGAUGUGAAAGCAAAGGUGUUUGUGAGAGAAAGCAAAAUGACAAGUGUGGGUGUGUGUUAAAGAGUGAGUGUGAUUAACUGCAUGCUUUUGGACUGCGGCUGUAUGGUGUUAAUCCUCUGAUCAGGAUGCUAGGAGGGCUGCAGGGCCUCAGGCCUUAGUCCGGCCCCUGAUAGACUGCCCUACUCAAAAUAAUACAUACACCUCAGUCCAUUUACAUCUUAGAGGUAACACACCGUACAUGUAAUCUCAGCCAAUGAAGGACUAAAACACGUACAAAAGGAGAGUUGAUUAAAGAUUGCCUAAUUACUCUAAUUAUGAAUGAAAAGAUAAAGAAACAAAUUGUAAGGGAUGUCAAAUAAAAUUAUUAAACAUUAAUAUACAGCCUAUCUGUGGUACUCUCUGUUGAAAGGAAACAUAGCCAAACCAGAUAAAUUCCCUUUAGAUGGGCACUGCUGGUCAUUUCACAGCAAAAAAGCCAGUGUACAAUUUUAAUCAAAUUUAACACUCCUGAAAUGUAUAUAUAUGACUCCCUCCAUUUUUAAGUU